UUUCUAGGCACAGCAGAGAUGGCAACAGUCACUGAGGACUGAGGAGAGAGGGAUAGCUGGGAAGUAGCCCGUGGGGACCUGGGCUGGGUAAAUGUCAGAACAAGCUGCAGCGCUUCCCGGACCACGCAGUGGGAGACAGACCAACCUCAUCGCCUUGGCAACCCCUCUGUUCUCUCCUCAAAGGAAGAGUCAAGGGAGGAGAAGAAAGGGGCUUUUAUGCUCCCGACCUCCCUGCACCCCCCUCCUCCAGCCCCUCUUCCGCCACGCUGCACUGUUAGCCCAGGCUCUGGCACAUGUGGAUGGGCUCCCAGGCCUCACAUUUAAAAAAAUAUCUAUUCCUUAUCUUACCAGGCUCAGGUUUUGAUCAUCACCCAUCUUUACCAGGCGGAGGACUGGUGUGAGCCUUGAGGCUGCCCAGGGAAAUGACCUGUUCGACGGACGGCACACUGAGGCUUCGUUAGCCGAGAGCACAGCACAAGUCCCUCCCUCUCUGGCCUGAUCGAACGGGGCAACUCUCUACCAUGGCCAACAGCCAUCCCGCAGAGGAACUCAUUUAGUAAACUUCCCGGUGCCUCGCCGCUCCACACGUUUUUCGGUGCUUUAAUUGAUAAUUGAAUUGACUAUCGCCAUGUAAUCAAUUCGGGGUUCAUCUCUGACUCCAUGCAGUUAAUUGGCUUGUGCCAGAGAGAGCAGGAGAGAGAGCAUGAGAGGCAGUGCAGAGCAGGGAGAGACUGACUCCCUGUAGAACUACAGAUGGGCUUUCAGAACAAUUUGCAUUGUUAAAUCGCUGAUUACCUUCCUGCUUCCAAAAAGUUGCCUGGGUGCAACGCAGGACCUUAGGGACUGUCCUCCAACUGGAUUCAGGGACUGACUGGGGCAGACACAGAAGUAUCGAUGGACACAAAACAAACAGCGGGAUGCUGUCUCUGCUUUGAUCAUAUUGAGACACAUGCAGGUUCUCUCCCCAUUCAACACUCCUUUUGUUUAUUUUUUUAUACAAGUAGCAUCUGGAAAGAUUCCUGGCUGCCUGCUGUCCACUGUUGCUUUGUACCUGCAAGUGGAAAGCAAAGUAUUGAAGGGAGGGGGGCACAACAGUGCAGUAUUGAUCCAACCCCUACCUUUAUGUUAUUCUCUCCUCUACAACAUGCCUUUUCACUCAGUUGACUUCAAUUCAAGCCAAGCCAGUGUGACCCUCCUUGAAUGAGGGAUGCUUGACUAGGUUCUGGGGCCUAGGCAGAGGCUGCUUGGUAGUGCACAGGUAGGGGCUAAGAGGCCCGGAUAGGGCUGGAUAAAGAGAGAGGGGUUGUACGUAACCAUCUGCUUUUGUGGUGGUGAGCAUCAAAGUCCUGAAGGAGCCCAAUUGGGACCCUCCUUUUAGAGGGGAAACCCCACAUACAAGCAGGACUUUUGGACACAGUCUACCCUCACUAUUCUCUCUCUCUCUCUCUCUCUCUCUCUCUCUCUCUCUCUCUCUCUCUCUCUCUCUCUCUCUCUCUUUCUCUCUCUCUCCCUCUCUCCCUCUCUCUCUCUUUCUCUCUCUUUCUCUUUCUCUCUCUCUCUCUCUCUCUCUCUCUCUCUCUCUCUCCCUACCUCUCUCUUUCUCUCUCUCUCUGUUUCUCUCUGCAUGGCUUCUAUAGGGCUUUGUGUUGACUGGAAGGAAGAGAGAAAAGAGCAGACAGACUCCCAUGAUUAAUCCUGGGAAUGUGGGAAGUACAAUUGUCUGUUUGACCCAGAGGACUUGGGCCAUCCUCCCUCACUUCACUAAAUAAAGAUAGGGAGGAGAGGAAGUGGUAGUUGAGUGUGUUGUAUGUAGUUUGGUGAGCGGUCUUGGAGAAAUGGGUCAGUGUGUAGUAUAGCUCCUAGAAAAUGCUUGCAGGGUGAUUCAUUAUUGAAGUGACUAAUACCUAAUUUGCCUGGCAGCACCACUGGCUCUCUCUCUCAUCCACUGUGGUGGCCACACAACAACAGUCUGCCACUCUCCUCUCUCUCUCAUCCACUGUGGUGGUCACACAACAACUGUCUACCACUCUCCUCUCUCUCUCUCAUCCACUGUGGUGGCCACACAACAACAGUCUGCCACUCUCCUCUCUCUCUCAUCCACUGUGGUGACCACACAACAACAGUCUGCCACUCUCCUCUCUCGCUCCCCCCCCCUACCAAUAUUUUGCUCUCCAUAUCCACUUCUCCGUAUCCCUCCUAUUUCUCAACCGCUCUAUCUUUCCAUUCCCACGCUAUUGCCAUCUCUCUCUCUCUUUUCUUUCCCUUUCCUUGUAUCCUCCCCCUAUCCUCUCUCUUAUCCCUCCCCACAUCUUUCUCACUCUCACUUACAGUACCUCAUGUGUUCUGUUUCCUACUCUACCUCUAUUCUUCCCUUGCUUGUUUUCUGUAUCUUUCCUUCAUUCACUCGAGCUCCUCGGUCAUCAUUAUGGACUUCCUUUCCUUUCUUGUUCCAUCAAUCUCUCUGCCUAAGUCAUUCAUUGUCACCCUCCCUCUCUCCCUCUCUAUUUCUGACUGUUUUCCAUCGGUCAGUCCUGUAUCUGUAAGGAGGGAUGCAGGAAAAGGGAAACAUACAAACCAGAAACAUAUUAUAGCAGCGCCGAUAGAAGAUAGCCAGACGACACAGUUGCAGUUCUGAGAUUUCCAGGCACUGCCAGGCUGUCACAAGACUAUGCUUGCCUAAAGGUAGCAUAUGGCAUUCUCCAAGACUGUUGUGCUCAUUGCCCUCCCACGCAACGUCCUGUCUCCAUCGCUCUCUUUCACUCACUCUCAGUCUCUCUCACCUUCUCUCUCUCUCUCUCUCUCUCUCUCUCUCUCGCUCUCUCUCUCUCUCUCUCUCUCUCUCGCUCUCUCUCUCUCGCUCUCUCUCUCUCUCUCUCUCUCUGUCUCUCUCUCCUUGGUUAUUUUCUCUCUUACCCAUCUCCCAUGUCACAGUACACAGCCCCUUCCCUCCCUGUUCUAUUUCACAAAGCCACACUUCAGUGGCGCUGCCUGAGGAGGAUGUCUCUGGCCCUGGCAGUUGGUGAGAGGGAGGAAGGCAGUGGAGGGAGGCUGCAAGGAAGAGCCAUUAGUUAAAUAUUAGCCAGCCUGUGUUAUAAUCCCUCAACAGUGAAGGGAGGGUUAGUGAGGCGGUCAUGGUAGUGAGAAACAAUUGGGCAUGUGGAUAGGAUUGGAGGGCGAGCUCUAUGGCACGCACACAGUGAAAUACAUAGGGAAGGAGGCAAUAAACACAAUUAAAAACACGCACACAGAGACACAAAUACACAGACACAAAAACAAAGAUACAAAGACACACACACACAAUUCCCCCCUCAUACAGAAACCCCCAUAGUGCCCCCUUAAUAACACCUAAUGACACCUGCAUAUGUGACCAACCCCAGCAGAGGGGCCAUAGAACACUCCAGCUCUACACUGGAACAGAAGGUGCUGUUUCAAUAGAUACCUGGCAGAACACAAAGGGACAGUGUUUUGUUGCCAACUCUUCAUCUGCACAAUCAGUGUGGAAAGCUGUGCUACGGUUACACACAUAACGCGCUGCACGGUAUCUGUCUUGUGAACACGUGUUUUGACACUGGUUUGACAUUUGGGAUUCAAUUUAGGAUAAGAAGUGAGAUAUGAGGUAAUCUGUGCAACUCAGAUGCUGUGAGAAAAUGUAAUAUGUGUUAUAUAUUGGCAUGUAAUGUGUGAUAAUAUCUGUAACCAAGCACUGCAAAGUAGCAUUUCUCAUAAGUAAACAGAAGAUAGACCACACAUCUGAAGAACCUUCCAGGUAAAUACGGACUAAAGCAGCUCUGUGAAGUAAAGAUGUUUGAUAACAUAACAUUAAAGAAUAUCUAGUUACAUACCGUGAUAUCAUUUUUGUUAUCGAUUUGUACUUUUUUAAAAUAUAAUGUUGCUACUGUAGGUAGCGUUAGCUAGUGCUCGUCAGCUGUCUCUGCGCCAAAACUCUGCUAUUUUUCAUCCUAUUGCUAUUGCUUGUCCUCAUCUUUAAAAAAAUUGUAAACCAACGUGUUUUCAGCACUUUUUUAUUUCCCUGACUGAUCAAAACUCUUCUCAUGCUCUCUCUUGUCCCACUGCAGUGGACAUAUGGUGAGUAAUAUGUUUGGAAUGUCAAAUCGCAAUAAAAUUGUGUGUCGAAUUGCAAUACAUAUAGAAUCGGCACCAACAGCAUCCUAAUCCAUUCUAGACUAGUUUAUUGAUAAUAGUUGUGUGUCCUCUACUCUAUACAAUAUAAGUGCUAUCUGUGACAGAAAUGGACAAUAGCUAAGGAAAAGGAUUCAGCAGUUCCUCCCUUCUGAUUCUCUACAUUCUUAGAAAAAAAGGUGCUAUCUAAAACCGAAAAGGGUUCUUCGGCUGUCCCCAU
This is a long non-coding RNA of Oncorhynchus masou masou (cherry salmon), 4360 nucleotides long. RefSeq lists it as uncharacterized. Lineage: Eukaryota; Metazoa; Chordata; Actinopteri; Salmoniformes; Salmonidae. The transcript has 4 exons. The record is from RefSeq and is a predicted model, not a curated record.